UCCGUAGGCGGGCAAUUAAGCCAGAGGUGAAAUCCCACAGCUCAACUGUGGAACUGCCUUUGAUACUGGUUGUCUUGAGUUACAGUGAAGUAGAUAGAAUAUGUAGUGUAGCGGUGAAAUGCAUAGAUAUUACAUAGAAUACCGAUUGCGAAGGCAGUCUACUAACUGUAUACUGACGCUAAUGGACGAAAGCGUGGGGAGCGAACAGGAUUAGAUACCCUGGUAGUC
RNAcentral lists this ribosomal RNA (228 nucleotides) under uncultured bacterium. RNAcentral's name for it is "partial 16S ribosomal RNA". It matches the Rfam family "Bacterial small subunit ribosomal RNA", at positions 568 to 795 of the family's 1533-position model. The record is from RNAcentral.